GCCAAUACUUACUGAUCCAUCCCUAGGGUAGUCUGGUAUACAAGGGUAGGUGUAUACAGUCACAUCAUCUGGUGCCAAUACUUUUACUGAUCCAUCCCUAGGGUAGUCUGGUAUACAAGGAUAGGUGUAUACAGUCACAUCAUCUGGUGCCAAUACUUACUGAUCCAUCCCUAGGGUAGUCUGGUAUACAAGGAUAGGUGUAUACAGUCACAUCAUCUGGUGCCAAU
Molecule: long non-coding RNA, 227 nt
Organism: Mytilus californianus (California mussel)
Lineage: Eukaryota; Metazoa; Mollusca; Bivalvia; Mytilida; Mytilidae
Exons: 3
Source: RefSeq, a predicted model, not a curated record